RNAcentral lists this ribosomal RNA (456 nucleotides) under uncultured Desulfobulbus sp. Its description in RNAcentral is "bacterial SSU rRNA". It matches the Rfam family "Bacterial small subunit ribosomal RNA", at positions 930 to 1382 of the family's 1533-position model. Lineage: Bacteria; Pseudomonadati; Thermodesulfobacteriota; Desulfobulbia; Desulfobulbales; Desulfobulbaceae. The record is from RNAcentral.
CGGUGGAGUAUGUGGUUUAAUUCGAUGCAACGCGAAGAACCUUACCUGGUCUUGACAUCCCGGAGACCCUUAGGAAACUAGGGGUGCUCCAUCUGGAAGAAUUUGGAGACAGGUGCUGCAUGGCUGUCGUCAGCUCGUGUCGUGAGAUGUUGGGUUAAGUCCCGCAACGAGCGCAACCCUUGCCUUUAGUUGCCAGCAGUUCGGCUGGGCACUCUAAAGGGACUGCCGGUGUUAAACCGGAGGAAGGUGGGGAUGACGUCAAGUCCUCAUGGCCUUUAUGACCAGGGCUACACACGUACUACAAUGGCCGAUACAAAGGGCAGCGACACUGCGAGGUGAAGCCAAUCCCGUAAAAUCGGUCUCAGUCCGGAUUGGAGUCUGCAACUCGACUCCAUGAAGUUGGAAUCGCUAGUAAUCGUGGAUCAGCAUGCCACGGUGAAUACGUUCCCGGGCCUU